This is a small nucleolar RNA of Cornus florida, 77 nucleotides long. RefSeq annotates it as small nucleolar RNA U54. NCBI's taxonomy places the organism in Eukaryota, Viridiplantae, Streptophyta, Magnoliopsida, Cornales, Cornaceae. The transcript has a single exon. The record is from RefSeq and is a predicted model, not a curated record.
GGCUCAAUGAUGCCUAAUUUUUUUUUGCAGUAUGCGCUAUUCUGAGCAGACAUUUUUAUUGCAAUAUCAUGAGAGCC